CCCCCGCCCGCCCCCCGCCCCCGCGGCAGCCGCGCCAGACGCAGCUCGGCUCGGAGCGCGCACGGAGCCUCCCGCAGCCGCCGCCGCCGCCGCCGCCUCCCGGGCAGCCCCGGGCAGCCCCCGCCAUGGCCCGGAACCGCAGGGAGAGGAGCGGCUGGGGUAGUUUUGCAGAGAAGACUUAUGAAUGGAGCUCGGAGGAGGAGGAGUCUGUGAGGAAGGCGGGACCGGUGCAAGUCCUCAUCGUCAAAGAUGACCAUUCCUUUGAACUGGACGAAGCCGCGCUGAACCGCAUCCUCCUCUCAGAGGCUGUCAGAGAUAAAGAGGUCGUGGCUGUGUCCGUUGCUGGAGCUUUUAGGAAAGGAAAGUCGUUCCUGAUGGACUUCAUGUUGCGGUACAUGUACAACAAGGAAGCUGUGGACUGGGUUGGAGAUUACAACGAGCCUCUGACUGGUUUCUCCUGGAGGGGAGGGUCUGAGCGAGAGACAACUGGCAUUCAGAUAUGGAGUGAGGUUUUCCUGGUGGACAAGCCUGAUGGUAAAAAGGUUGCAGUGCUGCUGAUGGACACACAGGGGACCUUUGACAGCCAGUCCACCCUGCGGGAUUCGGCCACCGUGUUUGCCCUGAGCACAAUGAUCAGCUCGAUACAGGUUUAUAACUUGUCCCAGAACGUGCAGGAGGAUGAUCUGCAGCACCUGCAGCUUUUCACUGAGUACGGACGGCUGGCCAUGGAGGAAACAUUCCUGAAACCUUUCCAGUCCCUUAUAUUCCUCGUGCGUGACUGGAGCUUCCCUUACGAGUUUUCCUAUGGAUCCGAUGGCGGCGCAAAGUUUUUGGAAAAACGUCUCAAGGUCUCAGGAAAUCAGCAUGAAGAACUGCAGAAUGUCAGAAAGCACAUCCACUCCUGCUUCACCAAGAUCUCCUGCUUCCUCUUACCUCACCCCGGCCUGAAGGUAGCCACCAACCCUAACUUCGAUGGAAAGCUGAAAGAAAUAGACGAUGAGUUCAUCAAGAACUUGAAGAUUUUGAUUCCUUGGCUUCUUAGUCCCGAGAGCCUGGACGUUAAGGAGAUCAAUGGAAACCAUAUCACCUGCCGAGGCCUUGUGGAGUAUUUUAAGGCGUACAUAAAGAUCUACCAAGGGGAAGAACUGCCGCACCCGAAGUCCAUGCUGCAGGCCACAGCAGAAGCCAACAAUUUAGCAGCAGUUGCCACUGCCAAAGACACCUACAGCAGGAGAAUGGAAGAGGUCUGUGGUGGGGACAAGCCCUUCCUUGCGCCUAGCGACCUGCAGAGCAAACACCUGGAGCUGAAGGACGAGGCCGUGAAGCUGUUCCGCGGGGUGAAGAAAAUGGGUGGGGAGGAGUUCAGCCGCCGCUACCUCCAGCAGCUGGAGACCGAGAUAGAUGAGCUCUACAUCCAGUACAUCAAGCACAACGACAGCAAGAACAUCUUCCACGCCGCCCGCACCCCCGCCACGCUCUUCGUGGUCAUCUUCAUCACUUACGUGAUAGCUGGAGUCACCGGCUUCAUUGGCUUGGACAUCAUAGCCAGUCUGUGCAACAUGAUCAUGGGCUUGACACUUAUCACACUGUGUACCUGGGCAUAUAUCAGAUACUCUGGGGAGUACAGAGAACUGGGCGCAGUAAUAGACCAAGUGGCCGCAGCGUUGUGGGACCAGGGAAGCACAAACGAGGCUUUGUACAAACUGUACAGCGCGGCCGCGACUCACAGACACUUGUACCACCACGCCUUCCCCGCACAGAAAGCGGAGCCCGCCGAGGGCUCGGAGAGGAAGAAGCUGUAGGCCGGACGAGCUCCCCUCGGCGCACGGAGGAGACGCGGCCGCUCACCGGUUAGACACUUCCAUCUGUUCGUGCGACAACAGUGUUCGAUGGGAAGAUGUAGGCAUGUUUUUUGUUCUGUUAAUAUGUACAUAUCGGCACUGCUGCGAAUACCAAGUGCUUUUAAUUUGCAAUAUCCGGCACACUUCCCAACUAAUUUAUGAAGCCUUAUUUUCCCCUUUUUAAUCACGAAGUCAUUAAAGCAAUUAUAAUUUAUGUGAUACUGCAACUAAAAACCUUCCAAACCUUAGCAUUAUUCAAAAUCAUCUUAUUUUCAAAUACUUGAACAAGUUAUAACAUGUAACCAAGGGUUUUCUUCAAUCAACUAAUUACAUCGACAUAAUUAAAAAUGUAUUAACUUGCUUUAUCAGAAACUGUAAGGACACCUGCUAUGGUAUGUUAACGAUAUUGUAAGGAACGCGUAUGUUUCCAUUCGUAACCGAUGCACAAAGUAUCACUUUGUAUAUGUAUUGGAGAAGGUUUCACUGUAUUUCUGUAUAUAUAUAUUCAUUACAGUGCAUAAAAGUGUGUUAAACAGUUCUAUUCUUUUAUCAUCAGAACGAUUAAAGUUUGCUUUUUGUUCCUAAGAA
Oxyura jamaicensis (ruddy duck) is the source of this 2429-nucleotide RNA transcript. It is a transcript of the gene named atlastin GTPase 1, with no coding region annotated. The record is from RefSeq and is a predicted model, not a curated record. NCBI's taxonomy places the organism in Eukaryota, Metazoa, Chordata, Aves, Anseriformes, Anatidae. The transcript has 15 exons.